Molecule: long non-coding RNA, 1814 nt
Filed under: Salmo salar (Atlantic salmon)
Lineage: Eukaryota; Metazoa; Chordata; Actinopteri; Salmoniformes; Salmonidae
Description: lncRNA (ENSSSAG00000104749.1)
Source: RNAcentral
CUGGGUGUGUUGUCCAUCACUAGCAGCACCAUAUCAUCAGGUAACAUUCUGGGUAUGUUGUCUAGCAGCACCAUAUCACCAGGUAACAUUCUGGGUGUGUUGGCAAUCAGCACCAUAUCACCAGGUAACAUUCUGGGUGUGUUGUCUAUCAGCACCAUAUCACCAGGUAACAUUCUGGGUAUGUUGUCUAUCAGCACCAUAUCACGAGGUAACAUUCUGGGUGUGUUGUCUAUCACUAGCAGCACCAAUUCACCAGGUAACAUUCUGAGUAUGUUGUCUAUCACUAGCAGCACCAUAUCACCAGGUAACAUUCUAGGUGUGUUGUCCAUCACUAGCAGCAUCAUAUCACCAGGUAACAUUCUGGGUGUGUUGUCCAUCACUAGCAGCACCAUAUCACCAAGUAACAUUCUGGGUAUGUUGUCUAUCAGCACCAUAUCACCAGGUAACAUUCUGGGUAUGUUGUCUAUCAGCACCAUAUCACCAGGUAACACUCUGGCUGUGUUGUCUAUCAGCACCAUAUCACCAGGUAACAUUCGGAGUAUGUUGUCAAUCAGCACCAUAUCACCAGGUAACAUUCUGGGUGUGUUGUCUAUCAGCACCAUAUCACCAGGUAACAUUCUGAGUAUGUUGUUUAUCACUAGCAGCACCAUAUCAUCAGGUAACAUUCUGAGUAUGUUGUCUAUCACUAUCAGCACCAUAUCACCAGGUAACAUUCUGAGUAUGUUGUCUAUCACUAGCAGCACCAUAUCACCAGGUAACAUUCUGGGUGUGUUGUCCAUCACUAGCAGCACCAUAUCAUCAGGUAACAUUCUGGGUAUGUUGUCUAGCAGCACCAUAUCACCAGGUAACAUUCUGGGUGUGUUGGCAAUCAGCACCAUAUCACCAGGUAACAUUCUGGGUGUGUUGUCUAUCAGCACCAUAUCACCAGGUAACAUUCUGGGUAUGUUGUCUAUCAGCACCAUAUCACCAGGUAACAUUCUGGGUGUGUUGUCUAUCAGCACCAUAUCACCAGGUAACAUUCUGAGUAUGUUGUUUAUCACUAGCAGCACCAUAUCAUCAGGUAACAUUCUGAGUAUGUUGUCUAUCACUAUCAGCACCAUAUCACCAGGUAACAUUCUGAGUAUGUUGUCUAUCACUAGCAGCACCAUAUCACUAGGUAACAUUCUGAGUAUAUUGUCUAUCACUAGCAGCACCAUAUCACCAGGUAACAUUCUGAGUAUGUUGUCUAGCAGCACCAUAUCACCAGGUAACAUUCUGGGUGUGUUGGCAAUCAGCACCAUAUCACCAGGUAACAUUCUGAGUAUAUUGUCUAUCACUAGCAGCACCAUAUCACCAGGUAACAUUCUGAGUAUGUUGUCUAGCAGCACCAUAUCACCAGGUAACAAUCUGAGUAUGUAAUCUAUCACUAUCAGUAUGUGUAAAUGUACUUGGUGAAUAAAGGUGAUUCUGAAUGAAGAGCAGCAGCCCAUUUCUGGAAGACUAUUUUAUUGUCCUGACAGACAACCUCCGAUCUUUAUCCACAGCUUUUUAUCUCUGGUGAUACAUCAAACGUGUACAACCAGACAAUGCUAACAGGUAACACAAUCCUCUCAUUAUCAGUGUAAAUAACCUGUGUUGCCAGGGAAAUACUCUGAGAGAUACUGUAUGUCAUUCAUUCAUUCAUUCACAUCCCUUUGUUUCCACUAAAUAAAUACUGUAGUUUCACUUUCAUCGUGACUAAAUACAAGGCUCUUUCAUCGUGACUAAAUACAAGGCUCUUUCAUCGUGACUAAAUACAAGGCUCUUUCAUCACGACUAAAUACAAGGCUCUUUCA